CGAAAUGGCUCAGUUGGUAGAGCAACGCAUUCGUAAUGCGUGGGUCGCGGGUUCGAGUCCCGCUUUCGG
Molecule: transfer RNA, 69 nt
Filed under: uncultured Alloprevotella sp.
Lineage: Bacteria; Pseudomonadati; Bacteroidota; Bacteroidia; Bacteroidales; Prevotellaceae
Rfam family: tRNA
About the family: Transfer RNA (tRNA) molecules are approximately 80 nucleotides in length. Their secondary structure includes four short double-helical elements and three loops (D, anti-codon, and T loops).
Source: RNAcentral